GCAAGUCGAGCGGAAACGAAGAAUAGCUUGCUAUUCUGGCGUCGAGCGGCGGACGGGUGAGUAACGCGUAGGAAUCUACCUAGUAGUGGGGGAUAGCCCAGAGAAAUUUGGAUUAAUACCGCAUACGCCCUGAGGGGGAAAGGAGGGGAUCUUCGGACCUUUCGCUAUUAGAUGAGCCUGCGUAAGAUUAGCUAGAUGGUGGGGUAAUGGCCUACCAUGGCGACGAUCUUUAGCUGGUUUGAGAGGAUGAUC
This 252-nucleotide ribosomal RNA is filed under the name uncultured bacterium. RNAcentral's name for it is "partial 16S ribosomal RNA". It matches the Rfam family "Bacterial small subunit ribosomal RNA", at positions 57 to 305 of the family's 1533-position model. The record is from RNAcentral.